UCUUAGUUUCCACCAAAUCUCCGCCACAAUCGGAACGUUCUGCACCAUUUCUGCUCCGCAAUGGGUGCUCCUUUGUCCAGUGCAUCUCACACAGGCAGGUUUCAUUUCGACCCCCGUCCGAAGCUGACCAGGUGUAGGCUUGUGACAUGAGAGUGUAGGGUUUUUUUUUAUGGCGCAGGGGGUUCGAAAGCGCAGGAUGUGCGGGCGGGGGUGAUUCUGCGGGAAAUUCGUGUCUCAGCUCUGUCGCUGCUGUUCAGAAGUGGGAUGAGCCGCUCCCGUAUCCACCACCCAUCCAUCCCCCAAAUGCGAGAAAGCUCCACAAUGUCGCUCAAUGGUUAUAUGGGAGAACGUGUUAGAAAAUUGAAACUUUCAUAUUUCUUAUUUUCCUCUCGUCUUCCAUGGAAUUCAAAUUAAGUCAGUUUCCACUUUUGGCUCUCAUGGCGCCUUUUCUCUCGCAUUUCUCUCCAUUUCUCCGGAAGAUGCCGGAGCGCCAUGUUUGGCGCACACAAAAGCGGGUGAAAUUUCUUUCUCCGUACCACCCACCGUACUGUGUGGGUAUGGUAUGGGGUCCAAGCAUACCAUAGGAUAUAGAGGCGAGCACAAGGAACGGAGGCAGAUGACAUGGGGUAUAGCAUGAAAACGAUGUAUACGGAAACUUAUUUUAUCAAGUCGAUUGCUUCAGUUAUCCACGAAUUACAUGUCUCCAGCCAGAGUGUAUAUGCGGAAAGGAUUUGUGUUUUGUAUCGCACACAUACACAUAUUUUCCAUCCCCACUCCCAAAGCCCUUGUUCCAUUCUUCCCAAGCUGAUUUAUGCUCCUUCUUAUCCCUCUCUCUGUUUUCCUUCAUCAUUUGUACCACAUAAUCAACUACUUGAGUCCUUGUCAAUUUUCAUUUUCAGGAAGCCAAUGAGACACUCUCCACGCUUUUAUUGCAGAUUUUCUUUUGCCACACACACACAGCUUCAUUCAACGGGGAAAAAUUCACCCCAUUUGUGGUAUAAAGAGCAUUUUGUUGCGGGAGCAUCAACGUGAAAUAAUCACCAGUGUUUAUGGAAACAAUCUUCCCACGAAUACUUUUCAUGAUAAAUUGAUGGUGUUUUAUUGGAAAUUUAUUCUCAUUGAGCUUUCUCGUACAGAAAAUUACUCAAGAGUUUUUCUUAUCCAUCAAGGGGUUAAUAAAUAAUCUUUUAAUCCUUAUGAUGAUUUUUUCUUUAUUUUAUUUUAAAUGUAACAAGUUUAUUUAUUUCUUGUUGGCUUAUAGAAUAUUUUUUCUCUAAAAUAUUUCUUUAAAUUUUUUUCUUCCAAAGUGUUGAAAUGCAACCCAAAAGAAAAUUUCUAAUCAUAUACUUAUAAAUUCAAUGGGAAACAUUUUCAAAAAUUGCUCCACAUAGAAGAUUAAGCUCUCUAAUUAAUAUGUUUUAACUCCAAAAAAUGAUUCUCAUAAAUACUGAUAUUCUAGGAGUUCUAGGCUAGGUAUUGUAGAGCUUUUUCAGAGCUUUUUUUCCAUAAUAAAAGAUCUACAAAAAUUGGAUAAAUAAAA
Lutzomyia longipalpis is the source of this 1540-nucleotide long non-coding RNA. RefSeq lists it as uncharacterized. Lineage: Eukaryota; Metazoa; Arthropoda; Insecta; Diptera; Psychodidae. The record is from RefSeq and is a predicted model, not a curated record. The transcript is spliced from 2 exons.